RNAcentral lists this ribosomal RNA (764 nucleotides) under uncultured Streptococcus sp. Its description in RNAcentral is "bacterial SSU rRNA". It matches the Rfam family "Bacterial small subunit ribosomal RNA", at positions 28 to 776 of the family's 1533-position model. The record is from RNAcentral. Lineage: Bacteria; Bacillati; Bacillota; Bacilli; Lactobacillales; Streptococcaceae.
GACGAACGCUGGCGGCGUGCCUAAUACAUGCAAGUAGAACGCUGAAGGAGGAGCUUGCUUUCUCCGGAUGAGUUGCGAACGGGUGAGUAACGCGUAGGUAACCUGCCUGGUAGCGGGGGAUAACUAUUGGAAACGAUAGCUAAUACCGCAUAAUAGUAGAUGUUGCAUGACAUUUACUUAAAAGGUGCAAUUGUAUCACUACCAGAUGGACCUGCGUUGUAUUAGCUAGUUGGUGGGGUAACGGCUCACCAAGGCGACGAUACAUAGCCGACCUGAGAGGGUGAUCGGCCACACUGGGACUGAGACACGGCCCAGACUCCUACGGGAGGCAGCAGUAGGGAAUCUUCGGCAAUGGACGGAAGUCUGACCGAGCAACGCCGCGUGAGUGAAGAAGGUUUUCGGAUCGUAAAGCUCUGUUGUAAGAGAAGAACGAGUGUGAGAGUGGAAAGUUCACACUGUGACGGUAUCUUACCAGAAAGGGAUGGCUAACUACGUGCCAGCAGCCGCGGUAAUACGUAGGUCCCGAGCGUUGUCCGGAUUUAUUGGGCGUAAAGCGAGCGCAGGCGGUUAGAUAAGUCUGAAGUUAAAGGCUGUGGCUUAACCAUAGUACGCUUUGGAAACUGUUUAACUUGAGUGCAAGAGGGGAGAGUGGAAUUCCAUGUGUAGCGGUGAAAUGCGUAGAUAUAUGGAGGAACACCGGUGGCGAAAGCGGCUCUCUGGCUUGUAACUGACGCUGAGGCUCGAAAGCGUGGGGAGCAAACAGG